Molecule: ribosomal RNA, 500 nt
Filed under: uncultured bacterium
Lineage: Bacteria
Description: partial 16S ribosomal RNA
Rfam family: Bacterial small subunit ribosomal RNA
Source: RNAcentral
AUUGAGCGCUGGCGGAAUGCUUUACACAUGCAAGUCGAGCGGCAGCGCGGGGGCAACCCUGGCGGCGAGCGGCGAACGGGUGAGUAAUGCAUCGGAACGUACCCAUUUGUGGGGGAUAACUGUCCGAAAGGACAGCUAAUACCGCAUAAGUCCUGAGGGAGAAAGCGGGGGAUCGCAAGACCUCGCGCGAAUGGAGCGGCCGAUGCCGGAUUAGCUAGUUGGUAGGGUAAAGGCCUACCAAGGCGACGAUCCGUAGCUGGUCUGAGAGGAUGAUCAGCCACACUGGAACUGAGACACGGUCCAGACUCCUACGGGAGGCAGCAGUGGGGAAUUUUGGACAAUGGGGGCAACCCUGAUCCAGCCAUUCCGCGUGAGUGAAGAAGGCCUUCGGGUUGUAAAGCUCUUUCGGCAGGAACGAAACGGUCCUGGAUAAUACCUAGGGCUAAUGACGGUACCUGAAGAAGAAGCACCGGCUAACUACGUGCCAGCCGCCGCCGUAA